GACGUAGGGGGCGAGCGUUGUCCGGAAUUACUGGGCGUAAAGAGCACGUAGGCGGAUGUAUAAGUCAGGUGUGAAAGACCGCAGCCUAACUGCGGGGUUGCACUUGAAACUGUAUAUCUUGAGGGCAGGAGAGGUUAGUAGAAUUCCUGGUGUAGCGGUGAAAUGCGUAGAAAUCAGGAGGAAUACCAGUGGCGAAGGCGACUGACUGGACUGACCCUGACGCUGAGGUGCGAAAGCGUGGGUAGCAAACAGGAUUAGAUACCCUGGUAGUCCACGCCGUAAACGAUGGAUACUAGGUGUGGGAGGUAUCGACCCCUUCCGUGCCGCAGCUAACGCAAUAAGUAUCCCGCCUGGGGAGUACGGUCGCAAGGCUGAA
This 376-nucleotide ribosomal RNA is filed under the name uncultured bacterium. RNAcentral describes it as "bacterial SSU rRNA". It matches the Rfam family "Bacterial small subunit ribosomal RNA", at positions 524 to 898 of the family's 1533-position model. The record is from RNAcentral.